CAGAGCCUCGAGCGUUAUCCGAAAUUAUUGGGCGUAAAGGGUGCGUAGGUGGUUCUAUUAGUCUUUUGUUAAAUCUCCGAGCUUAACUUGGAAUCAGCAAAAGAAACGGUAGAACUUGAAAGUGCGAGAGGUAUACGGAACUCAUGGUGUAGGGGUGAAAUCUGUUGAUAUCAUGGGGAACACCAAAUGCGAAGGCAGUAUACUGGCGCAUAUUUGACACUGAGGCACGAAAGCGUGGGUAGCGAAUGGGAUUAGAUACCCCAGUAGUCC
RNAcentral lists this ribosomal RNA (270 nucleotides) under uncultured archaeon. RNAcentral's name for it is "partial 16S ribosomal RNA". It matches the Rfam family "Bacterial small subunit ribosomal RNA", at positions 527 to 796 of the family's 1533-position model. The record is from RNAcentral.